This 551-nucleotide ribosomal RNA is filed under the name uncultured bacterium. Its description in RNAcentral is "partial 16S ribosomal RNA". It matches the Rfam family "Bacterial small subunit ribosomal RNA", at positions 355 to 889 of the family's 1533-position model. The record is from RNAcentral.
UGGGGAAUAUUGCACAAUGGGCGCAAGCCUGAUGCAGCCAUGCCGCGUGUGUGAAGAAGGCCUUCGGGUUGUAAAGCACUUUCAGCGAGGAGGAAGGUGGUGGACUUAAUACGUUCAUCAAUUGACGUUACUCGCAGAAGAAGCACCGGCUAACUCCGUGCCAGCAGCCGCGGUAAUACGGAGGGUGCAAGCGUUAAUCGGAAUUACUGGGCGUAAAGCGCACGCAGGCGGUUUGUUAAGUCAGAUGUGAAAUCCCCGGGCUCAACCUGGGAACUGCAUUUGAAAACUGGCAAGCUAGAGUCUCGUAGAGGGGGGUAGAAAUUCCAGGUGUAGCGGUGAAAAUGCGUAGAGAUCUGGAGGAAUACCGGUGGCGAAGGCGGCCCCCUGGACGAAGACUGACGCUCAGGUGCGAAAAGCGUGGGGAGCAAAACAGGAUUAGAUACCCUGGUAGUCCACGCUGUAAAACGAUGUCGAUUUUGGAGGUUGUGCCCUUGAGGCGUGGCUUCCGGAGCUAACGCGUUAAAAUCGACCGCCUGGGGAGUAACGGCCGC